GUUUGGUACAUCGCUGUCGGCUCUUCCUAUCCUGGUAGUGCACAAGCUACCAAGGGUGUCGGAGUUCACGCAUUAAAAGGAAUCGUUAGCUGGGUUAAGAACGUCGUGAGACAGUUUGUAUGAUAUCUACUAGGCGCGUUGUGGUUUGAGCGGAACAAUCAUCUAGUACGAGAGGAACGUUGAUUGGAUGCCUCUGGUGAAGCAGUUGUUAUAUAGCAGGCUGCGCAGCUACGCAUUGUGUGGAUAAGUGCUGAAAGCAUCUAAGCACGAAGCCAUCCGCAAGACGAAACCACCGAGGCCGUCACAGAAGAUGACGUUGAUAGAGUUGGUGUAUAAGAUUCAAGGUAACG
Molecule: ribosomal RNA, 350 nt
Filed under: Candidatus Pacearchaeota archaeon
Lineage: Archaea; Nanobdellati
Description: bacterial LSU rRNA
Rfam family: Archaeal large subunit ribosomal RNA
Source: RNAcentral